UUAAAAGCUCGUUCUCUUUUUUUGGACGCGUUCCUCGUCUUCCUACAUCGCAUCCCAUCCCAUCGUUCUCGGCUUCUCAUGUCGGAGAUAGCCGCGCUUCUUGCCCCUACUCUCACUUCCAUCCCGAAGAGAUCUGCCACCAUGAGCAGCGGCAGCGGCGGCGGCGAUCUCCUCAGUAUACACUAUACAGCCCACCGAGCUUAAAUGCCAUUGUGAAAGUCGAACUGAGGAAGAAGAGUUGGUGCUCAAUGCGGGUGACCAACACGACUGAUCAGUAUGUGGCCUUCAAGGCGUGAAGUGUGAACUUCUUUCUCUCUCAUUGUUGAGUUUCCCUAUAUUUGUUCAUUUUUCUUCAACAUAAAUUAUUCUAUCGUCUUGAGAGUGAAAGUUAGAAUACUAUCUAUCUAUCUAUCCAUCUAUCUAUCUAUCUAUCUUAUUUGUUCAUUUUUCUUCAACAUAAAUUAUUCUAUCGUCUUGAGAGUGAAAGUUAGAAUACUAUCUAUCUAUCUAUCUUAUUUGUUCAUUUUUCUUCAACAUAAAUUAUUCUAUCGUCUUGAGAGUGAAAGUUAGAAUACUAUCUAACUAUCUAUCUAUCUAUCUAUCUAUCUGCCUGCCGCCAAAUACACGUGUAUUUUUAUUUUAUUUUAUUAUGUAAUCAUCAUUCAUUUGAAUUAUAUUCAAGUAUUGUUUGAAUUGGAUGUUCUCAGUUACAAUGCAAGCUCAGAAAGAGCUUCCAGCUGACCUGCAAUGCAAAGAUAAGUUCCUUUUCAUGAUGCCUAUUUAUUGAUUCUAUUGAGUUAUCAGUUUAAUAAAGAAGAUGGUAAAGCUGUCUGUAGAGGAGUUUAAGUUGCAGGUUGUGUACAUUCCUGCCAGCCAAUCUUCCCUCUCCUGUGCCUGAGGAAUCAGAGGAGGGAUUGUCACCAUUGUCAUUUGGAGUAGAGAAAGGACCUCGAAGUUCAUCUCUGUCUGAUGCGGUAAGGGUAUUUGGACUUAAGUUUGCUAAUGAUCUCGUUCUCGUUAACUUAUAUAAGUUGUCAUGGUUUUAGUUUUCAAGUUCUUACCUUUUGUUUUAUUUUAUCCAAUUGACGUAUACUGAUUCACUGAAUGAGAGGGCAAAUGCUAGCUAUCAGGUGAUGCAAUCCUCGAGUGAGACAGUGGAAGAAAAGACUUCAGAGGUGGUUUGGAUACAUUACGUUCUCUCUUCUUACUAUGGAAAAUUUGGAGCACCCAACCCGUAAAUAUUGCAUAGUUCUGUGUAUUUAAUUAAUCUGCACCUUUUAUUUGUGACAAGCAAUAAACGUCAAUGUCCUUUGUAAAAAUAAAUAAAUAAACUGAUGCCCCUUGACUUACUACUUGAAUAGAGAAUCAACCAGCAGUGUUUGAGAUGGGACAAGUGAUCCCUUAAUCUAUCCUGGCAAAAAGUCAUCACUUUUGGGUUGUUGAAACUAGUUCAAGUGAAAACCUGCUCCAAUCAUAGGAAAUGACAAUGCCCUAAAGGAUUAUUCUGUCGAGGUGUUUUACUUUCUAAAAAAUUAUCUGGUUUAAUGAAUGGUGAUUAGUGUUUAUGAUACUGGAGAAUAUUUUUCCUAUCCAUUUUUUUUAUGAAAUAGAUUUUCCUAAGCAUUUUUGUUAUCAUGGCUUCACAGAGUCAGUGGUAGGACUAAAAUUGUUGACCAUAUGGCAGCAUUCAUGUAAGUGACAGAAAUAUGGCUCAGAUGUUUCAGAGUUAAAUCCCAUUACAGAAUGCAAAUGAACAUGGGUAGUCAGAGAACUGAAGGUAGGGUGGGAUCCUUGACACAUUUGCUGUUGAGUAGUCUAAGAAAUAAAUUAUGCACAAGUGUUAUCCAAUGCUUAGGUCUUGUUAUCUUUCUUCUCUUUCUGUUGAAGUUCUGCAUUUUUCCUCUUUUGCCCUUUACUUCAGUUGUUUAAACCUAUCAACUGGAUCUCUGCCCUUCCAAUCCUUUAUAUCCAUGCUAAUUAUACAAGCUAAAUUUGCCCUUUGGAAACCAAUUUAGCUGUUUCAUACCUGAAAUAGUCUUCUAGCCCAGUGUUCUGUUCUCAACAAGGCUUAUAUGGAAAACAAAUUCGUGAAUAGGUUCACAAAAAGAUACCCUUGCAUAGUUGCAUGUUGCAUCAAAAGAUUUCAAAGAGUGUCGUUUGGUGUUGAUUUGUGUCUAAGAAUUUGUGACAUAUCCAUUCCUUAUUGUCCAUAAAUAAAUAGGCCUAAGCAAGGAUAUGCUUAUCUAUAUAUUAUUUGCCAUGAUUUUGUGAGAAAAUUCUUCAAAAACAUUAUUCAGUUUAUUACUGUAGGCGAUGGUAAAAACUUCAUUAAACUCUGUAGUAAUCAGAGCUGCGUUUGCCCUCAAAUUGUCAAUCUGAAAUGGUGACUUCAGAUCUUUGAAGUGUGAACACCUCAAGAAGUUCUUGGUCAAAUAAUCACAAUUUUGUACUUGGAAGUCCAUGUUCUGUUUGAUUUAUAUGAGUCUGUGAUGUCAUGGGCAUGCAUAUAUGACAGCAAAUUUAAAUUAUUACCACUGCAUUAUAGAAAAUUUCAUUCUUAAUGGAUUUUGAACCUAUCAAGUGACAAAUUAAAUCAUAAUGUCUAUAAAUCUAAGAUGUUUUCUGUUUUGGUAUCAUAUUCCUCUACCAUUCUGUGUCUUUAUCCUUGAAAUUCCAUCGUAAAAGUAACUGAGCAUUUUAUCCAAACAAAAAAGGACAUAACUGAGCAUUGAUCAACGAUUGUAAGGAGCUGUCCGUAUCCCCGAUUGUCAUGCAACCAUGCAUAUUAGCAUGAAACAGACACCAAAUCAAAUCAGGAAAUACUUGUGCUUGAGGAUAUCAUAUUAUGUUUAAUUGCCAUGAGAAUAGGCUUAUCAAAGAGUUUUGGAAAGUCAAUCAUAUGUUAUAUGUUUCUGAUAUCAAUGUUGAAUAAAUUGUGAUGGAAGCUAAAGAAAGUUUGGAUGGCCUCAUGAGGAGAAAUUACCAUGCCGUGCACCUGUCACUUGAUUCCUUCAGAAGAUGCCUGGCAUUAAUUGGCAGUUUAAAUUCUCUGAAGGGAAUUGGCAUUUAACAAUUAGUUCCGGAAAGCUUGGUGGUGAUUCACAAAUUUUGAAAGUACUUGUAGUAAUUGAUGGUUUGAAUUUUUCAGGUAUCAAACAUCAUCUCCCUGCUGACCAAGGAAAAAGUUCAUGCUAUUCAGCAAAACCAGAAACUCAAUUAAGAACUGAGAGCCUGCAGUGUAAACAUUAAAAAAGGGCGCCACACCACACUUGUCAUCGUGCAUUUUCAUCGGCUCAUCAUGUCUACCAUUUAAGCAGGAAACGAAGCCUCCGUUCCAUUGGCUUCAAAGUUCCAACAACUUGCACGCGAAGGGAAAGACAAGAGGCCUCGGCCUCGGCUAGCUCCACGGAUCCGUUGAUGCUGUCAUCCCCUACGGCUGUGCCGGCCCUACAAUCUUUGUAGACAUACCACUUGGCACAGACCAAGAAGACCCCGAGGUUAACGACACUGAUCAU
Dioscorea cayenensis subsp. rotundata (Guinea yam) is the source of this 3515-nucleotide long non-coding RNA. RefSeq lists it as uncharacterized. NCBI's taxonomy places the organism in Eukaryota, Viridiplantae, Streptophyta, Magnoliopsida, Dioscoreales, Dioscoreaceae. The record is from RefSeq and is a predicted model, not a curated record. The transcript is spliced from 4 exons.